Molecule: ribosomal RNA, 440 nt
Filed under: uncultured bacterium
Lineage: Bacteria
Description: partial 16S ribosomal RNA
Rfam family: Bacterial small subunit ribosomal RNA
Source: RNAcentral
CCUACGUGAGGCAGCAGUGGGGAAUAUUGCACAAUGGGGGAAACCCUGAUGCAGCGACGCCGCGUGAGUGAAGAAGUAAUUCGUUAUGUAAAGCUCUAUCAGCAGGGAAGAAAAUGACGGUACCUGAGUAAGAAGCCCCGGCUAACUACGUGCCAGCAGCCGCGGUAAUACGUAGGGGGCAAGCGUUAUCCGGAAUUACUGGGUGUAAAGGGAGCGUAGACGGCGGUGCAAGUCUGGAGUGAAAGGCGGGGGCUCAACCCCCGGACUGCUCUGGAAACAGUACGGCUGGAGUGCGGGAGAGGUAAGUGGAAUUCCUAGUGUAGCGGUGAAAUGCGUAGAUAUUAGGAGGAACACCAGUGGCGAAGGCGGCUUACUGGACUGUAACUGACGUUGAGGCUCGAAAGCGUGGGGAGCAAACAGGAUUAGAUACCCUGGUAGUC